RNAcentral lists this long non-coding RNA (262 nucleotides) under Panax ginseng (ginseng). RNAcentral describes it as "long non-coding RNA (PGIN_LNC010342)". The record is from RNAcentral. Lineage: Eukaryota; Viridiplantae; Streptophyta; Magnoliopsida; Apiales; Araliaceae.
CCAAUCCAAUUCCUCCUAGGGACCAAUAAAACUCAAAACAAUACUAUCCCAAAGACCUAUGAAAAAAAAUAUCACACCAUUCCAUAGUGCUACAAUCGCAAGGCCUUAAAUCCUUCUCCACUGCCACUAAUAAAAGUAAAACAGAAUCAUUGGAACCAUAUUUGACCUACUCAACAUAAUUGCUCAAGUGUAUCCACCACUUUUCAUAUUCUAAUGCAUGUGUACUCGUGCCUUUAGAUUAAGAAUUAAACUUAAAUGAUCC